GGCCAGGGACUGAUUUCUCCCUUCCCAUAUAACGGUCGGAAUGCGCCCCACCUACCUCCAAAAUUACCUCUCAGACCUCUCCGAUAUCCCUCACCAUUCCCCCGCCUCCCCCCGCUGCCGGAAAUUGCCCACGGCAGCGGCACAACCCCAAACCACCUCAAAUUAUCACCCUCUAGUCCCAAGACCACCCUCAGUCCAAAUCUAUUAUUGGUUUCCCCAGAAAACCCCUCAAUAAUGUCGAAUAGUAGAUCUAGGAAACACUAAAACCUAAAUCCACCCCAUUUUUGUUUUUUAUUUUCUCAAAUACCAGUUUGUUUGGGCUUAAUACUAACACCAAUCGACUUCUCUCGUUGAGUAUUAUAGAUUGGCGUUGGUUUCGCCUCGUUUUAAGACCGUCAGAAUUCGGUCAAACUCCGGUUGACUGUCCUAUUCAUCCCUUCCUCGCUUCGCUUCCUUUCUCCGGCCAGUAGGAGAUAUUGGUAUAUAAAACAUUGGAUUGCUCGGAUAAAUCCGGCCCAUGUUCAUGUGGCAAUCUCUCUGGCUCGCCAUAAUAUUCUCUAGUCGUUUUGAUUAACCUCAAUAGGUAUUGCCUCCCUUUAUUCCUUUCAUUUUUAUUUCUGUUCUUAUGUGUGUUUGUUGUUUCUGUCAAUUCAUAUGUGCAUAAUCACAUGCUAUAAUUGUUGAUUAAGGGUCUUUUUCUAUUAUUCUGAUUUCAUGUUUAGCUGUUUAGUUGAUCUCAUGAACUAGCCUGUUCAAAUUCUUUUGUUAAUUCCCUUUUGUUUAUCAUUAGUGAUUAGUUAUUGUUUUUAGGUCUUAGUUGAUUUUGGGUCGUGUUAGUAAUUAUCACAACCCAAUUCCAUUUUUGGCCGUGAUGGCGCCCAGCACCAUUGCUAGGCAAGCCAACAAUGAACAAUCCAGUCAUUUUCCCAUUUUAAUAUAUUUUUUCCAAGUAAAUAACUUUCCUUAAUUUACUAGGUUUAGUAAGAAACAGAUUUAAAUUAAUAAAACGAAAGCAACUGAAUGUAUUUGCGGCCAUAGGAAUAAAAGCAAAAUCACAAGUCUACUAGUGUGUGCCAAGAUCUGGUGUCACAAGUGUGUGGGCUACUAGUGUAAUAUAUAAAAGAUCUCUACUCUACCGUAUGAAAUAGAAUAGACAGAAAAUAAAUCAAACGAGAGACUCUGGCUGCUGCUGAACGGCUCGGAAGGGAAGAUCGCCGUGUGGUCUCGGACCAGAAGUCAAGCGUGCGCGCCAGACUGAUAAUCAAAUUCACCUGCCUCAUAUCCUGUACGACAAGUGCAGAAGUGUAGCGUGAGUACAUAAACAACAUGUACCCAGAAAGUAUCUAGUCUAACCUCGAAGAAGUAGUGACUAGAGGUCGACUUCGACACUUACUAUGGGCCAAAAAUAUAAAAGUAUGAAGUUCUAAUUAAACAUGAUAUAUAAACCGAUAAUAGUACUCAGAGCAGGAAAAAUAAGUAAACAAUCCUUCCAUUUCAAGUAAGAACCAAGUCAUUUCUCUCGUCUAAUCCUUUCACCUUUCAAGUUCAUGGAACAAUAUUAAAUAUAAAGGGAGUUCCAAUAUCUUUACGCAUGAAUUAUGCCGAGGACGUACGACCCGAUUCAAAUAUACAUAUAAAUAUAUUGUGCACCACCGAGUGUCGAACGGCCCGAACCAUAAAUACAUCGAUUAACCUGCUGAGGCGAACGAUCCGCUCCCAUGAGAUUAGUGAAAAUUUACCCCGCUCGCGGAAUAUACUUGCGAAGCGGUUGAGUAUAGAUUUUUUCAAGUUAUCACAAUAUUUCUCAAUUCUUUUCGAAAUAAGAAAUUCAGCUAGGAACCUUUAAAAUAUUAAAAUCCUCAACCUCCGCUUUAAUCCAAAUACAUAGUUUGCAUAAACAAGCAACGGUAUCAACAAAAACAUAGUGUAAGCCUAAAUCUAUCCGGACAUAAGCAUGAAUAGUAGCUAUGCACGGACUCUCGUCACUUCGUAUGUAUGUAGCUCCCGUAAAUAGUAGUACAUAAUGACUAAAUUCACCUAUGGGGUUAAUUACCUCUUACAAGGUGAGAUAAGAGACUUACCUCAUUUCAAGGCCUAAUUUCCGGUCCAAGAAUGUGCUCACACCCUCAAUUCAGUGCCGAAUCAAUCCAAAACUAAUCAAAUAGUAUAUAAACUAAUCAAUACAUGCUCAAAAGUUCGUAUUCUAACUCUUAAAGGGAUUACCCAACCCCAAUUGAAGAAUUUCCAAAAUUCACCCCGGGCCCACAUGCCCGGAUUUCGGAACUAUUCGAAGAAAAUUAUUACCCAUAACCUCAUGAACUCAAAUAUAUGAUGUUUUUUUUUACUAAAUUCCAUAACAAUUUCGUGUUUAAAUCUCAUUUUUGUCAAAAUCCUAGGUUUUCACCUAAACCCAUGACUUUCACUAAUUUACUUGUUAUAAUCUACCCAUGAACCAUGUAUUAAACUCACAUUGUGUGGAAAUUAUCUACCUCAAGGCGCUAGGUGAAAUCCCUUCUCUAAGAGCUCCAAGAUUCGCCCAACAAUGAAAGAAAAUGAGCCAAAAUAGCCCUAGUCCCAUUUUUAAAAGAUGAUUCUGCCCAGGGGUCCUUAUACGCGAUCGCGGCCAAGCACUCGCGAUCGCAAUGGCUAAACUGAAGAGCCCAGGAAAAGGCUCUAUGCGAACACGAGAGGACCUAUGCGAACGUGAUGCACUGGGGCGCUUACUCCUCGCAAAUGCGGGGCCCAACAUGCGAAAGCGUAAGGCAACUGGGUCGCCCAGGCCCAGGCCUAGGCCCAGGCUUCUACGUGAAUGCGACCUUCUCCAUGCGAACACGAAGGGCAAAAACCUCCAGUCCCCAAAUCCUUCACCGCGAACGUGAGGAUCUGUCUGCGUUCGCUAAGAAGGAAACCAGAACAGAAAAUCUAGUAUUUUGAACUUAUCUCAGGGCGGUCCGAAACACACCCGAGCCCCUCGGGACCUCGUCCAACUACACCAACAAGUCUAUAAACAUAAUACGAACUUGAUUGAAAUCUCAAAAUGCGUAAAACAACAACAAAAACAAGAAUCAUACCCCAAAAUCGAAUUGAAUCAAAAUAUGAAUUCCAACUACAAAUUUUGGAUCUGGAAAUACAAAAAUAUCAAAACAAAAACAGAAGAAAAACAGAUGAAACGUAGACUAAAAGAGAGAUCUCUGCAAUUGUUUGAAGCUGCAGCUGUUCAUCUUCAUACUUUUGGGUUUCUAAAUAUUUUUAGAUCAUAAAAUGUUGUUGAUUUUGGCUGUUCCUGAGUUGCUGAGCUGCACUCCUUAGUUUCAGACCUUUGCCUGGUUUAUUCUAGCUGAUUUUCUGCAUUGAGGUAUGUUUUACACUAUGUAAUCAUCGAGCUUGAAUCAAUGAAUGCAAAUAUGGUGUUUUAAAUGCCCUAUCAUGUGUUUAGUUUGCUUGGUUGUUACUGAUGUCCAUGAUUCCUUUUAGGUGUAUUGAUGUUUGCUUUACUAGUAUGUGUUGAACAUUUUACUUAGCCUCGUUUUGUAUAUGUAUGAAUAUCAAAUCAGCCUAAGUGCAGUAGUUUGACUAAUUUAUGCCUACUGAUGUAAUGAUGUUCAGAGGGUUGAGUUGUAGGUUUGAUCACCAGUUGGUCAAAUCCAUCCAAUAAGUAGACUAAAGCAACAAAGUUGGCUCAUGUGAUUUUGUUGCCGCAUUGUCACGGAAGCAGUAUAAUAAUUAUAUCUAUUUAGAAUUGUUUAGGCCAGAAUUGUAAAGUCAAUUACGAUUCACACAAGGUUAUCUAUGUGAUAGACUCAUUUGAGUUAAAGUGUCAGUUUCUUCUUGUUAAAUAUAUUGAUCUGUUACAGGCAUAGUUAAUUUGUAAUAUUAAAAUGGAUGAGGAUUUCAUUUGUAGAAUCUGCUUAGUUCUCUGCACUUAGUGUCAUGUAUGUACUGGGCCUGGCGGGACUAUUUUCUAGGCCUUGAUGGGGUUUGGCCAUGUUUCUAAAAUGCUAUCACAUCUUGGGCUUCAUCUCUCAGCCCAAUUCUAUUUGUAUUUGAACCUGUCGGAGAUUUAGUUUUAGCCAGAACAAUCAAUGUCAGUUCAAUGACACACUGGCAAAUUAUUGAAAUAAGCAGAAUUCAUUCAAUUAGAGCUAUCAGGUAAACAUCAGCCUCUAUUCAACAAAAUUAGAUAGCCUCCUUUAAUCAUAAUUCUCAAGUCUGAUUCUUAGCCCCUUUCCAAAUAAUUCUUUUCAAACAAUUUGUUGAUGCCUAAAGGGUUCAACGCUAGGUUGUUAAUGAUGUAUUUAACUCUUAUAAACUUACCCACAUGUCAUUUACAUAAUCUUGG
This 4339-nucleotide long non-coding RNA is filed under the name Nicotiana tabacum (common tobacco). RNAcentral's name for it is "long non-coding RNA (NTAB_LNC006214)". Lineage: Eukaryota; Viridiplantae; Streptophyta; Magnoliopsida; Solanales; Solanaceae. The record is from RNAcentral.